ACUCAAAUGAAUUGACGGGGGAGCGCACAACCAGUGGAGCAUGUGGUUUAAUUCGAUACGAAGCGAAAAACCUUACCUGGGUUUGACAUGUACCUGCACAGCUAUGGAAACAUAGCCUUCUUCGAGAGUGGUACACAGGUGAUGCAUGGCUGUCGUCAGCUCGUGUCGUGAGACGUCCGCUUAAGUGCGGUAACGAGCGCAACCCUUAUCGCCAGUUACAAGUGUCUGGCGAGACUGCCUUUGUUUUUACAAGGGAGGAAGGAGAGGACGACGUCAAGUCAGCACGUCCCUUACAUCCAGGGCGACACACAUCCUACAAUGGGACCGACAACGGGUAGCGACGGGGUAACCCUGAGCCAAUCCUUAUAAACGGUCCCUCAGUUCAGAUCGAGGGCUGCAAUUCGCCCUCGUGAAGCCGGAAUUGGUAGUAAUCGCAAAUCAUCAGGUUGCGGUGAAUACGUUCUCGCUCCUUGUACACACCGCCCGU
RNAcentral lists this ribosomal RNA (487 nucleotides) under uncultured bacterium. RNAcentral's name for it is "partial 16S ribosomal RNA". It matches the Rfam family "Bacterial small subunit ribosomal RNA", at positions 899 to 1397 of the family's 1533-position model. The record is from RNAcentral.